RNAcentral lists this ribosomal RNA (406 nucleotides) under uncultured bacterium. RNAcentral's name for it is "partial 16S ribosomal RNA". It matches the Rfam family "Bacterial small subunit ribosomal RNA", at positions 30 to 526 of the family's 1533-position model. The record is from RNAcentral.
AUUGAACGCUGGCGGCAUGCCUAACACAUGCAAGUCGGGCGAGAGGCGGACGGGUGAGUAAUGUAUGGGGAUCUGCCUGAUGGCGGGGGAUAACUACUGGAAACGGUAGCUAAUACUGCAUACCAUCAGAUGAACCCAAAUGGGAUUAGCUAGUAGGUGAGGUAACGGCUUACCUAGGCGACGAUCCCUAGCUGGUCUGAGAGGAUUAUCAGCCACACUGGGACUGAGACACGGCCCAGACUCCUACGGGAGGAAGCAGUGGGGAAUAUUGCACAAUGGGCGAAAGCCUGAUGCAGCAAUGCCGCGUGUAUGAAGAAGGUCUUCGGGUUGUAAAGUACGUUCAGUCGGGAGGCGUUACCGACAGAAGAAGCACCGGCUAACUCCGUGCCAGCAGCCGCGGUAAUGC